This 816-nucleotide ribosomal RNA is filed under the name uncultured bacterium. RNAcentral describes it as "bacterial SSU rRNA". It matches the Rfam family "Bacterial small subunit ribosomal RNA", at positions 11 to 861 of the family's 1533-position model. The record is from RNAcentral.
GUUUGAUCCUGGCUCAGAAUCAACGCUGGCGGCGCGCUAACACAUGAAGGACCUAGAAAGGCUCCUUCGGGGGCUGAGUACAGUGGGAAGGGUAAGUAACACGUGGAUACCUGCCCUCGAGUGGGGAAUAACUCUGGGAAACCGGGGCUAAUACCGCAUACUCUCUUGAGAGAAGAAAGCAGCAAUGCGCUCGGGGAGGGGUCCGCGGCUGAUUAGCUAGUUGGUGGGGUAAAGGCCUACCAAGGCGACGAUCAGUAGCCGGCCUGAGAGGGCACACGGCCACACUGGCACUGAGACACGGGCCAGACCCCUACGGGAGGCAGCAGUGGGGAAUCUUGCACAAUGGGGGAAACCCUGAUGCAGCGACGCCGCGUGAGCGAAGAAGCCUUUCGGGGUGUAAAGCUCUUACGCCAGGGACGAUAAUGACGGUACCUGGAGAAGCAGCUGCGGCUAACUACGUGCCAGCAGCCGCGGUAAUACGUAGGUGGCGAGCGUUGUUCGGAUUUAUUGGGCGUAAAGGGUCUGUAGGAGGUUUGUUAAAUACGGGGUGAAAUCCGGAAGCUCAACUUCCGAAUUGCCCUGUAGACUGACGGACUAGAGUACCGGAGAGGUAAGCGGAAUACCAGGUGUAGCGGUGGAAUGCGUAGAUAUCUGGUAGAACACCAACAGCGAAGGCAGCUUACUGGACGGAAACUGACUCUGAAAGACGAAAGCAUGGGGAGCAAACAGGAUUAGAUACCCUGGUAGUCCAUGCCGUAAACGUUGUCAACUUGAUGUGGGGGGAUUUAGUCCUCUCCGUAUCGAAGCUAACGCGAU